This 492-nucleotide ribosomal RNA is filed under the name uncultured bacterium. Its description in RNAcentral is "partial 16S ribosomal RNA". It matches the Rfam family "Bacterial small subunit ribosomal RNA", at positions 29 to 507 of the family's 1533-position model. The record is from RNAcentral.
AGUGAACGCUGGCGGUAGGCCUAACACAUGCAAGUCGAACGGCAGCACAGUAAGAGCUUGCUCUUACGGGUGGCGAGUGGCGGACGGGUGAGGAAUACAUCGGAAUCUACUUUUUCGUGGGGGAUAACGUAGGGAAACUUACGCUAAUACCGCAUACGACCUACGGGUGAAAGCAGGGGAUCUUCGGACCUUGCGCGAUUGAAAGAGCCGAUGUCGGAUUAGCUAGUUGGCGGGGUAAAGGCCCACCAAGGCGACGAUCCGUAGCUGGUCUGAGAGGGUGAUCAGCCACACUGGAACUGAGACACGGUCCAGACUCCUACGGGAGGCAGCAGUGGGGAAUAUUGGACAAUGGGCGCAAGCCUGAUCCAGCCAUACCGCGUGGGUGAAGAAGGCCUUCGGGUUGUAAAGCCCUUUUGUUGGGAAAGAAAAGCAGCAGGUUAAUACCCCGCUGUUCUGACGGUACCCAAAGAAUAAGCACCGGCUAACUCCGUG